Molecule: ribosomal RNA, 520 nt
Filed under: uncultured Entrophospora
Lineage: Eukaryota; Fungi; Glomeromycota; Glomeromycetes; Entrophosporales; Entrophosporaceae
Description: SSU rRNA
Rfam family: Eukaryotic small subunit ribosomal RNA
Source: RNAcentral
AGCAGCCGCGGUAAUUCCAGCUCCAAUAGCGUAUAUUAAAGUUGUUGCAGUUAAAAGCUCGUAGUUGAAUUUCGGGAUUGACACAUCGGUCGUGCCUUAAGGGGUAUGAACUGGUGUAGUCAAUUUCUCACCUUCUGGAGAACCGCAAUGCCCUUAAUUGGGUGUCGCGGGGAACCAGGACCUUUACUUUGAAAAAUUUAGAGUGUUUAAAGCAGGCAUUUGCUUGAAUACAUUAGCAUGGAAUAAUAAAAUAGGACGGCAUGAUUCUAUUUUGUUGGUUUCUAGGAUCACCGUAAUGAUUAAUAGGGAUAGUUGGGGGCAUUAGUAUUCAAUUGUCAGAGGUGAAAUUCUUGGAUUUAUUGAAGACUAACUACUGCGAAAGCAUUUGCCAAGGAUGUUUUCAUUAAUCAAGAACGAAAGUUAGGGGAUCGAAGACGAUCAGAUACCGUCGUAGUCUUAACCAUAAACUAUGCCGACUAGGAAUCAGACGAUGUUAAUUUUUUCAAUGACUCGUUUGGCA